This 756-nucleotide ribosomal RNA is filed under the name gamma proteobacterium PM63. RNAcentral describes it as "bacterial SSU rRNA". It matches the Rfam family "Bacterial small subunit ribosomal RNA", at positions 106 to 864 of the family's 1533-position model. The record is from RNAcentral. Lineage: Bacteria; Pseudomonadati; Pseudomonadota; Gammaproteobacteria.
GUGAGUAAUGCAUAGGAAUCUGCCCGGUAGUGGGGGAUAACCUGGGGAAACCCAGGCUAAUACCGCAUACGUCCUACGGGAGAAAGGGGGCUCCGGCUCCCGCUAUUGGAUGAGCCUAUGUCGGAUUAGCUAGUUGGUGAGGUAAUGGCUCACCAAGGCGACGAUCCGUAGCUGGUCUGAGAGGAUGAUCAGCCACAUCGGGACUGAGACACGGCCCGAACUCCUACGGGAGGCAGCAGUGGGGAAUAUUGGACAAUGGGCGAAAGCCUGAUCCAGCCAUGCCGCGUGUGUGAAGAAGGCCCUCGGGUUGUAAAGCACUUUCAGCGAGGAAGAACGCCUAGUGGUUAAUACCCACUAGGAAAGACAUCACUCGCAGAAGAAGCACCGGCUGCCAUAACUCCGGCAGCCGCGGUAAUACGGAGGGUGCAAGCGUUAAUCGGAAUUACUGGGCGUAAAGCGCGCGUAGGUGGCUUGAUAAGCCGGUUGUGAAAGCCCCGGGCUCAACCUGGGAACGGCAUCCGGAACUGUCAAGCUAGAGUGCAGGAGAGGAAGGUAGAAUUCCCGGUGUAGCGGUGAAAUGCGUAGAGAUCGGGAGGAAUACCAGUGGCGAAGGCGGCCUUCUGGACUGACACUGACACUGAGGUGCGAAAGCGUGGGUAGCAAACAGGAUUAGAUACCCUGGUAGUCCACGCCGUAAACGAUGUCGACCAGCCGUUGGGUGCCUAGCGCACUUUGUGGCGAAGUUAACGCGAUAAG